RNAcentral lists this ribosomal RNA (254 nucleotides) under bacterium enrichment culture clone ALO1_GLFRUDD03GQLYY. RNAcentral's name for it is "partial 16S ribosomal RNA". It matches the Rfam family "Bacterial small subunit ribosomal RNA", at positions 9 to 266 of the family's 1533-position model. The record is from RNAcentral.
GAGUUUGAUCUUGGUUCAGGACGAACGCUGGCGGCGUGCCUAACACAUGCAAGUCGAGCGAGGGGAGUUCUUCGGAACGAACCUAGCGGCGGACGGGUGAGUAACACGUGGGUAACCUGCCUCAAAGAGGGGAUAGCCUCCCGAAAGGGAGAUUAAUACCGCAUAAUCCAUUGUUUCCGCAUGGAGAUAAUGGUAAAGAUUUAUCGCUUUGAGAUGGACCCGCGGCGCAUUAGCUAGUUGUGAGGUAAUGGCUC